RNAcentral lists this ribosomal RNA (497 nucleotides) under uncultured bacterium. RNAcentral's name for it is "partial 16S ribosomal RNA". It matches the Rfam family "Bacterial small subunit ribosomal RNA", at positions 28 to 507 of the family's 1533-position model. The record is from RNAcentral.
GAUGAACGCUGGCGGCGUGCCUAAUACAUGCAAGUCGAGCGAACAGACGAGGAGCUUGCUCCUCUGACGUUAGCGGCGGACGGGUGAGUAACACGUGGAUAACCUACCUAUAAUACUGGGAUAACUUCGGGAAACCGGAGCUAAUACCGGAUAAUAUAUUGAACCGCAUGGUUCAAUAGUGAAAGACGGUUUUGCUGUCACUUAUAGCUGGAUCCGCGCCGCAUUAGCUAGUUGGUAAGGUAACGGCUUACCAAGGCGACGAUGCGUAGCCGACCUGAGAGGAUGAUCGGCCACACUGGAACUGAGACACGGUCCAGACUCCUACGGGAGGCAGCAGUAGGGAAUCUUCCGCAAUGGGCGAAAGCCUGACGGAGCAACGCCGCGUGAGUGAUGAAGGUCUUCGGAUCGUAAAACUCUGUUAUUAGGGAAGAACAAAUGUGUAAGUAACUAUGCACGUCUUGACGGUACCUAAUGAGAAAGCCACGGCUAACUACGUG